Long non-coding RNA from Prionailurus viverrinus (fishing cat), 2742 nucleotides. RefSeq lists it as uncharacterized. The record is from RefSeq and is a predicted model, not a curated record. NCBI's taxonomy places the organism in Eukaryota, Metazoa, Chordata, Mammalia, Carnivora, Felidae. The transcript has 4 exons.
CCUGGCCCCUUCAAGGAAGCCUGAACUGUCUUGAGGGAUCUCUGAGCUUUGGGGAACUUUGGGGGAAGUUGAUGAGGGUUGGGAGUUGCCCCAGGCUGGGUGUAGGGUGGGACCUGUCCCUCCUUCAUAACCCUUUGCUCUGGUCCUUAUGCCUGCUGAGCCCUGUCUUCCCAGCAGCUGGGCUGGGAAUCCUGGGGCAGAGGGACCUCCUCCUAUCCUCUCUGUGUCCACAGGCUCAUGUCUAAACAGGCAUUGGGCCAAGCCCCAGAUUUCUGCAGGAAAGACCGAGAGGAUCCCUCCAAUCCAAUUACUCAAAUGUGCCCGCAUCCGCCGGUGGCGCCGAGAUUGGGCCGGCCCAUUUCUGCCUGGAUGCCAGCCGCACAGGGGCUGGCAUAGCAACAUGAGCUCUGAUCUGCUGAAACUUGGAGUCGAUUCGUCACUGGGAGGACAGAAAGAAAGACUGAAGAGGGCGCCUUUAAAAGUGAUGCGGGUCAGACAAAUCCAGGCUAAUCCCUGAAAUCCACAGAAAUGGGGUCUGGCAUUAACACGUGUGCCAUAGCAGCGACUCCCAGUGACACGGUGUGCCAGAUUUGGGUGUGUGAGACACGCUCCUCCACUGGCAUUCUACUCCACAAGAGGGAGUUCUGGACGGGAUCAGACCGCCAGCCCCCUGAUGGCUUUACUGCGCAGCUGUGUUUUCAAACUUUUAAACCAAGCAGCAGAACCUUUUCUUAAACAAUCUCACCCAGCACCUCUUUAUAUAAAACAAUAAUCAGCCUCCGAGGGGAGGCCUGGAGAGGCAACUCCCACCCCCUCCAGAAACCCCUAUCUUACCUGAGGAGGAGCCACUGGGACCCUCUUGAUCUUCGUCUGAAGAGGGGGCGCCACUGCAGUCAGGACCUGAAACGAGAUGAGCGGUUCACAGAGGUGUCCGGAACUCAACCGACAGCCAUCCAGCAGCCCAGAACAGGCUUUCACCCUCUUUGAAAAUAAGAUCACAUCAAGUCAAAGAUUCAAAAUGGGAAAAAUUCAAUCAGAGCCUCCCUCGGGCCAGCUACACAUCUCAAUACACUCGUCGGCCAGCAGAAUCGGCUCCCGCUACAACCCAGCUCAGCAUCAUCGUUCAAAACGCACCGGUGGGGUAUGUCAGUGAUGUCCAUGAUACCCUGAAGCUCCUGAGUGCGUGGGGCUGAGGCCAAGUUCCUGCCAUCAUCACACCUCUCCACUCUACAGUGCAGCAGAGCGGCUACUGUUGUCGCCAUUGUACAGACGCGGAAGCUGAAACUUUGAGAGAUGAAGCACACUGCCCAAGAUCACAGUGGAGCAGGUGGGAUUUGAACCCAGAUCCAUCUGACUCUGAAGCCAGAGCGCUUCUCCAUCUACCCUGCCACAGAGUCUCCCAUGCCCACCUCCUGCCCUUGACACGUGGCCUCUGGAAGGGGUCACCCUCAAAUACCUGUGCCAUGGCCCUGGGUAAGGGAGCUCUGUGGCGGUACCAGCAGCUGUGGCGCUUCUUGUCAAGUCCUGCCCAGCUCUGCUGGGGUGCCCCCUUAGUUGGAGGCCCUUGUUGACACGACCCAUUUGGACUGCAAUUUUAUAAGGUAAUUAUGGAUCAGUUUGGUGACCAUCAGGCCCUUCUGCUACAUCCUGGGAAAUGGACCUAACUCUGUUACAGGGUAAAUCAGAUAUAAUCAGCUCCUAAUUCAAUAUGGUGGCUCUAAGUAACAUUUAUCAAGAUACAGAAGCUGGUCCUGUGAGAUAGCCUACAGUGGUGGUUGGAUUAGACUCAGACAAGAAGAACCCAUUUGCUGACAGUUUUAAAAAUUAAGUGGAAGAGACAAACUUUUCCAGUACUGUACGUUAUUACAUACACUCGUGUGUUCCAGGCACAGACAAGGGCAUCUUUUGGAGUGGCCACCUGUACACCUCAGUCUCAUCCUGCCCGUGGCUCAUCCUUCAAGUCUUGACACAAGUGCCUGGACACCUGGAACACCUUCCUGUUCAAAAGCCAACCUGGGCGAUCAGAUGGUGGGCAGGGCUGGCUGUUGCUACCCCUUCUGUGCCCGAGGAUCCUAAAACUCUUAGCUACAGAGCUUAGGUAUAUUGGCAGACUUUCUCCCCAGCUCUGAGUGGGAUAGAAUUUCUCUUUUGAUUGGUGGUUUGGGAGUCACGUAGGCUAAAUAAUAAUCAGAUUAUUGAUUGGGUGAUCGUGAUUGGAUCUGUUACUUUUUGUUUGUUUCUUUGAGAGAGAGAGAAUGAGUGGGGGAGAAGGGCAGAUAGAGAGAAUCUUAAGCAGACUCCACACUCAAAUGUGGGAUUCAAUCCCAUGACCCUGGGAUCAUGACCUGAGCUGAAAUCAGGAGUUGGAUGCUCAACCGACCGAGCCACCCAGAUACCCUGGAUCUGUUACUUUUGCAUCGGAUCGAACUUUAUGUCCCCACUUCCUUCCCAACUGCCAGCCAAGUUGACCAACAGCAAGGCCCACACCAGACCCACACCAGACAGUUUUUGCAAACUUACGGAAGCAGUGGCCGCUAAGAGCCGACAAUGUUCCAUAGACUUCUACCCCAGCCUCCCCUAGCUGUAUGGGCCUGCCUUCCAGACCUCUGUGCAAGCUUCAACACCUCUUCACCCAUACUAGGGCUGGCUGGUGACCUUUGAUCCACCAAGUCCCUCGUUUGGACUCUCGCCCCCCUGUCUCCUCUCACAGUUGUUAAGGUCUAACUCCUGUAAUAAAUUCCU